UCGAUUCCCUUAGUAGCGGCGAGCGAAACGGGAAGAGCCCAAACCAACAAGCUUGCUUGUUGGGGUUGUAGGACACUCUAUACGGAGUUACAAAGGACGACAUUAGACGAAUCAUCUGGAAAGAUGAAUCAAAGAAGGUAAUAAUCCUGUAGUCGAAAAUGUUGUCUCUCUUGAGUGGAUCCUGAGUACGACGGAGCACGUGAAAUUCCGUCGGAAUCUGGGAGGACCAUCUCCUAAGGCUAAAUACUCUCUAGUGACCGAUAGUGAACCAGUACCGUGAGGGAAAGGUGAAAAGCACCCCGGAAGGGGAGUGAAAUAGAACCUGAAACCGUGUGCUUACAAGUAGUCAGAGCCCGUUAAUGGGUGAUGGCGUGCCUUUUGUAGAAUGAACCGGCGAGUUACGAUUUGAUGCAAGGUUAAGCAGUAAAUGUGGAGCCGUAGCGAAAGCGAGUCUGAAUAGGGCGUUUAGUAUUUGGUCGUAGACCCGAAACCAGGUGAUCUACCCUUGGUCAGGUUGAAGUUCAGGUAACACUGAAUGGAGGACCGAACCGACUUACGUUGAA
Molecule: ribosomal RNA, 563 nt
Filed under: Staphylococcus aureus
Lineage: Bacteria; Bacillati; Bacillota; Bacilli; Caryophanales; Staphylococcaceae
Description: partial 23S ribosomal RNA
Rfam family: Bacterial large subunit ribosomal RNA
Source: RNAcentral